UUGACUCUUCAUCUGAAAAUGGGCCUUGAGAAAUGGCUUGGGGGAGGCUAAGCACCAGAGGCUCCUUCAAUGGCGAGCCCUGUCUAUUGCUGGACAUGAAAUUUCAAAGUGUCCCGCCUUACCACAGUAAAGACAGAGGUCAUGGGCCCGGUGCUGCUCCUUCUCCGCUGAGGACAGGAGGCGGCGUCCAAUUUCCAUGGGUUGGGAAGAUGGGGGCGACUAUGAUCUGCUAGCUCUGCAUAAGAUCACCAUCAGAAACGCACAGCAAAGUCCCGCCUCUCCAGAUAAACGAAGGAGUACGCUGACAUAUAGGCUGUGAGCUGGGGUCCCACGGGUGAAAGACCUUUGGUGGUGGUACUACGUCAACGUUUGCCAUGUGGCACUCUUGAAGUGUACGAGUGUGUUAUCUGAGUUCAUGGUGAGGUGUGUGUGUGUGUGGAAGUUUUGUUUUGUUUAUUUGGAAUUUGUGUAAAUUGGUUGUUUAACAUUCCUUUCGUCUGAUCGUGUAUUUUUGUUAUUUUUGUAAUUGUCUGUCACUGGACCUUUUUUACCAGUGAGGACAUUUUCUUUUUGUUAAGUUUGCUUUUGUAAUGUUGGUUUGAGCUGCUAUGAAUGGCUCCUUAGUAUUGAGCCUAUUUUAAGAGAUUUUCUUAAAAUCUUAAAUUCAAGUUUUCAAUAAACGUUGUAUUUUUACAUAAUG
Long non-coding RNA from Tachysurus fulvidraco (yellow catfish), 700 nucleotides. RefSeq lists it as uncharacterized. The transcript has 2 exons. The record is from RefSeq and is a predicted model, not a curated record. Lineage: Eukaryota; Metazoa; Chordata; Actinopteri; Siluriformes; Bagridae.